RNAcentral lists this ribosomal RNA (440 nucleotides) under uncultured bacterium. RNAcentral describes it as "partial 16S ribosomal RNA". It matches the Rfam family "Bacterial small subunit ribosomal RNA", at positions 338 to 795 of the family's 1533-position model. The record is from RNAcentral.
CCUACGGGUGGCAGCAGUGGGGGAUAUUGCACAAUGGGCGAAACCCUGAUGCAGCGACGCCGCGUGUGGGAAGACGGUCCCCUGCAUUGUAAACCACUGUCGCCAGGGGCGAAGAUCACGGUACCUGGGGUGGCCGCUCCUGCUAACUACGUGCCCGCAGCCGCGGUACUACGUAGGGAGCAAGCGUUGUCCGGAAUUACUGGGUGUAACGGGCGCGUAGGCGGGAUGUCAAGUUGGGGGGUAACUCUACAGGCUCAACUGGGAGGCGCACUCAAAACUGCUAUUCUUGAGAGAAGGAGAGGCAGGCGGAAGUCCGAGUGUAGCGGUGAAAUGCGUAGAUAUUAGGAGGAACACCAGUGGCGAAGGCGGCCUGCUGGGCGUUUACUGACGCUGAGGCUCGAAAGUGUGGGGAUCAAACAGGAUUAGAUACCCCAGUAGUC